Molecule: long non-coding RNA, 1192 nt
Filed under: Ananas comosus (pineapple)
Lineage: Eukaryota; Viridiplantae; Streptophyta; Magnoliopsida; Poales; Bromeliaceae
Description: long non-coding RNA (ACOM_LNC006317)
Source: RNAcentral
UUUGGGUUAAUUACAUAAAAUUUUCUAUAAAUAUAUUAAAUAGUAAAUAUAUUCAAAUAAAAUUUAAUUUUUUAUAUUUAUUUUUAAUAUUAUUAAAUAUAAUCUUAUUGUUAGAAUUCAUUAAAAAAAUUAGUUAAUUAUAGAUAAAAUAUUUAACGCUGGUUAAUAAAUAAGAUAAAUUAAUCUUUUUACCACUUUUAUAUUAUUUGUGAUGGCAAAAAAAAAAAUUCUUGGAAAUUUUUGAAAGAAGUUUUCUGCAUAAUUUUAACAGUUAGUGUUUUAGGAGAAAUAUAUUUAUAAUAGUAAAAAUAUAAUUUUACUUAUCUUCUUAAAAAAUAAAUAGUGAUAUGAUGAUAACAAAUCAGAGAUGCAAACAAAUAUGAAUAUUAUUUUAAUUUUAUAGGGAUAAAUAUGAAAAAUUAAAUUUUUUAAGAAUAUAUAUUUAUUAUUCGAUAUUUUUAUAGAAAAAUGUAUGAAAUUAACUUUUUUUUUUAUUUGCAUAUACAACAGGGGCUACUCCAUUGAAUUGAAGCUUUGUUUAUAUAAAGAUAUCACAGUGUGUGUUACGGGUAAUUUUCGCUUUUAAAUAGGAUACACAAUGGUAUUACAGGUGUGAACCUCAAAUUUUCUUUAUCGCUUUAUUAUUAUUUCACUACAGAAUUUAUUUAAUUUUGUCAUUAUCAACAUCUUUUUCAAAAUGGUAUCAAUCUUUUGAUACCGAUCAUUUUUAGCACAAGUGGUAAAGAAUUUGAUAAUUAGUACUGGAGGUCUCAAGUUUGAAUCUCAUUUGAUUCAUAUUUACGACUAAGUUUAUUUCUAAAAAAUAAAUAAAAUGGAUAGUAUGCUACAUUUCUUAAAAAAAAAAAAAUUUGAUGCUUUUCCAAGAAGAAAAAACUGAAGUCUUUUUAAGUAACCGCCUCUUUCAAUGGUCCUUUUAUUUAUAUAUAUAUAUAUAGUGUAGGGCUAGAAUACUUUUACAAGUAUCACCCAAGUGAUACUUGUGUGUUUUUAGCCAUUGAAUCUACUUUUUGAUUACUAAUAGUCCUUAGAUCAAACACUAUUUCACCUACCACCACCUACCACCAUCAUCUCAACCUCACAUCUCUCCAUCCAAGGGCUAAAAAUACACAAGUAUCACUUGGGUGAUACUUUUACAAGUAUUCUAGCUCUACUCUAUAUAUAUAUAUAUAUA